Molecule: ribosomal RNA, 448 nt
Filed under: uncultured bacterium
Lineage: Bacteria
Description: partial 16S ribosomal RNA
Rfam family: Bacterial small subunit ribosomal RNA
Source: RNAcentral
AACGAACGCUGGCGGCAGGCUUAACACAUGCAAGUCGAGCGCCCUUUCGGAGGGAGCGGCAGACGGGUGAGUAACACGUGGGAAUCUACCCAUCACUACGGAACAACUCCGGGAAACUGGAGCUAAUACCGUCUACGUCCUUCGGGAGAAAGAUUUAUCGGUGAUGGAUGAGCCCGCGUUGGAUUAGCUAGUUGGUGGGGUAAAGGCCUACCAAGGCGACGAUCCAUAGCUGGUCUGAGAGGAUGAUCAGCCACACUGGGACUGAGACACGGCCCAGACUCCUACGGGAGGAAGCAGUGGGGAAUAUUGGACAAUGGGCGCAAGCCUGAUCCAGCCAUGCCGCGUGAGUGAUGAAGGCCCUAGGGUUGUAAAGCUCUUUCACCGGUGAAGAUAAUGACGGUAACCGGAGAAGAAGCCCCGGCUAACUUCGUGCCAGCCGCCGCGGUAA